This 230-nucleotide ribosomal RNA is filed under the name uncultured bacterium. RNAcentral describes it as "partial 16S ribosomal RNA". It matches the Rfam family "Bacterial small subunit ribosomal RNA", at positions 104 to 334 of the family's 1533-position model. The record is from RNAcentral.
CGGGGUGGAGUAAUGUCUGGGAAACUGCCUGAUGGAGGGGGAUAACUGCUGGAAACGGUAGCUAAUACCGCAUAACGUCGCAAGACCAAAGAGGGGGACCUUCGGGCCUCUUGCCAUCGGAUGUGCCCAGAUGGGAUUAGCUAGUAGGUGGGGUAACGGCUCACCUAGGCGACGAUCCCUAGCUGGUCUGAGAGGAUGGCCAGCCACACUGGAACUGAGACACGGUCAAG